GAUGAAGAACGUAGCGAAAUGCGAUAAGUAAUGUGAAUUGCAGGAUUCAGUGAAUCAUCGAAUCUUUGAACGCACAUUGCGCCCCCUGGUAUUCCGGGGGGCAUGCCUGUUCGAGCGUCAUUUCACCACUCAAGCCUCGCUUGGUAUUGGGCAACGCGGUCCGCCGCGUGCCUCAAUCGACCGGCUGGGUCUUCUGUCCCCUAAGCGUUGUGGAAACUAUUCGCUAAAGGGUGUUCGGGAGGCUACGCCGUAAAACAACCCCAUUUCUAAGGUUGACCUCGGAUCAGGUAGGGAUACCCGCUGAACUUAAGCAUAUCAAUAAGCGGAGGA
RNAcentral lists this unclassified non-coding RNA (330 nucleotides) under soil metagenome. Its description in RNAcentral is "partial contains 5.8S ribosomal RNA, internal transcribed spacer 2, and large subunit ribosomal RNA". The stretch from base 1 to 120 matches the Rfam family "5.8S ribosomal RNA", at positions 35 to 154 of the family's 154-position model. The record is from RNAcentral.